GGGAGAAAGAGAUGUGGGGCACAAAGAGGCUUUUGGCGUCCCCGGGAUGGGCAGCAGGUGAAACCGGCUUCUCCGGGGGCUUNNNNNNNNNNGGGGAGGUCCGCGGGCCACCGGCUCAUUUCUCCUCUUCUCUCUUCUCCCCCUUUCCCCUGGCAGCUGUGUCCACCUCUGUCUUCAUCGUGGCCAUCCUCAUCCUGCUGCUGCUCCUGUACCACCGGGACCCCAUGUGCUGCCAGUUCCUCUGCUCCUGCCGCUUCUUCCAGACCCCCAGCCAGUAUGACUGUCCCCCACCCUACUUCAGCAGCAGCCAGCGGCUGGUGGGUCCCCAAAGCGGAGCGUCCCGGCUGGAGAGCGCUGCUGAGAACCCCGGAGUGCAGGGAGACGAGCUGUUCUGCGUCGGGCCCCCCAGCAGCUACCAGCUCCCCUCCUGGGAGCAGCCCCGCCUGCCCAGCUACGAGAGCGUGCGCAAGAAAGAUCGCCAGCGGGAGAUCCAUCAGAUGAUCGCCGAGAGGUUUGGCCUGUGGGCAGAGCCUUCCCAGGAGAUGCCGCCUCCCUACGAGCACGCUCUGAGGCACCCUCCAGCUUUCUCAGGAACACUACUAAGCUCGGGGACCUUGGACAGACGUGGCGUGCCCGACCCUUUCCAGGCCCCUCUUGGCUACCAAACUCAGCGAAACACAGACGUGUAA
This 689-nucleotide long non-coding RNA is filed under the name Calidris pugnax (ruff). RNAcentral describes it as "lncRNA (ENSCPUG00000002403.1)". The record is from RNAcentral. Lineage: Eukaryota; Metazoa; Chordata; Aves; Charadriiformes; Scolopacidae.